RNAcentral lists this long non-coding RNA (222 nucleotides) under Prunus persica (peach). Its description in RNAcentral is "long non-coding RNA (PPER_LNC003285)". The record is from RNAcentral. Lineage: Eukaryota; Viridiplantae; Streptophyta; Magnoliopsida; Rosales; Rosaceae.
UUGGGGUGCCAAAGACAGCAUAAAAAGAAUCUAAUAAGGCUUGCAAUUCAUGCUGUUGUGGUGAGGAUAAAUCAUCUGCGGGUUUGGCCAUAUUUUCACAUUCUACAGCACAGAGAAUCACACCAUAACAUCCUGCAUGCAACAACUUGUCCAUCUGUUGACAAGAAAUAGGUUGUGGAGGCUGAGGCUUAGAACUGGACAAACAGAUUUGCUCAUUCCCAU